GGAGAGGAGCUCGCGUCCGAUUAGCUAGUUGGUGAGGUAAGAGCUUACCAAGGCAACGAUCGGUAGCUGGUCUGAGAGGACGAUCAGCCACACUGGGACUGAGACACAGCCCAAACUCCUACGGGAGGCAGCAGUGGGGAAUUUUCCGCAAUGGACGAAAGCCUGACGGAGCAAGAGCGCGUGCGGGAGGAAGGGCCUUGGGUCGUAAACCGUUUUUCUUAGGGAAGAAGCUCUGACGGUACCUAAGGAAUCAGCCUCGGCUUAACUCCGUGCCAGCAGCCGCGGUAAUACGGAGGCGGCAAGCGUUAUCCGGAAUUAUUGAGCGUAAAGCGUCCGAAGGCGGCUUACCAAGUCUGCUGUCAAAUACCAGAGCUCAACUCUGGGUCGGCGAUGGAAACUGGCAAAGCUAGAAUACAGUAGGGGUAGAGGGAAUUCCCAAGUGUAGCGGUGAACUGCGUAGAGAUUGGUAAGAACACCGGAGGCGAAAACGCUCUACUGAGCUGUAACUGACGCUGAGGGACGAAAGCUAGGGUAGCGAAAGGGAUUAGAUACCCCUGUAGUCUUAAGCUUGUAAAACGAUGGAGACUAGGCAUGGCUUGUAUCGACCCGGAGCCGUGGCCGAAGCCAACGCGUUAAGUCUCCCGCCUGGGGAGUACGCACGCAAGUGUGAAACUCAAAGGAAUUGACCGGGGGCCCGCACAAGCGGUGGAGUAUGUGG
Molecule: ribosomal RNA, 718 nt
Filed under: uncultured organism
Description: bacterial SSU rRNA
Rfam family: Bacterial small subunit ribosomal RNA
Source: RNAcentral